ACUUCUGUUCAGACCAUACCUCCCAAAUAUUCAUUCAUUAUCAGAAUCUUAACUCUUCAUAUUUUGUUUUAUAUUAAAUUAUUUUCUGCACAGUAAAUGCAAGGUUUUUUUCUCCCACACUCUGGAAUAUGUGAAAUGAACAACAACCAUUGAUGUUGCUGCAUUCUAUUUCUUGUGCAGUGUCGGAUAAAAACAAUCUUAUCAACAUCAGUCCUGAUCAUAAGGACCAGUAAUUCAUUCCUCUUAUGAUUCUAACCCUUCGAACUGCAGUUUGUUAACAUGAUGCUAAACAACAGAGCACAUUAUGAAAUGAUUUCCCUCUCUGUCUCCUCAGGUUUGUGAUGAUGUUGCUGCACAGGUUCUGGGGAAGUCGGUGUUCGUCAACUGGCCUCAUCUAGAGGAAGCUCGCAUCAUUGCGGUGUCGGAUGGAGACGUCAAGUUUUGUCUGGAGGAACCACCCGGUGUCCAAAGAGUGUACGACAGGCCCUCCACACCCCCCCCCACCAAAGUCAACUGUCUGUCUGACAAGGAGCAGAAGGACUGGGUGAAGGACGUGCAGGGAGUUACUGAACAUUUCGUGAAGAGGAAAGGCAUCAUGGUGAAUGACACGUCGGUGGUUUUGUACGGCCAGUUGCUGACGGGAAGGAAAUACGUCCCUAAAGCUGACGGGGUGGUGGAACUUGAGAAACAGUGGGCCAAGCAGGUCCUCCCUUUCGCCUUCCAGACUGUGGUUAAGGUACACACACACACACACACACACACACACACAUACAUACAAGACAUGAACACAGAGAUAAAUCAUUGGAGCCUGUGACCAAUUCAGCACCAGUAUGUUUAAAAAAACACCAGAACACCUGGUUGAGGGAGAGAGUGUAGUCUAAUCCCUGACUCUGACACACUCGGUAGUGGUGGUGUUUUCCACAACCACUCACCAAGAGUUCCCACUUCAUGCCAUGAAUGAAAAACAAAAAAACAAGACAAUAUAAUCACAGAAAAUCAAAUGGUAAAGCCAAACUAUCCAUCCAUCCAUUUCCCUCGGCUUAUCCGGGGUCGGGUCGCGGUGGCAGCAGGCCAAGCAGGCUGACCCAGACUUCCUUCUCCCCCGCAACAUUUGCCAGCUCAUACUGGGGGAUCCCGAGGUGUUCCCAGGACAGCUGGGAGAUGUAAUCCCUCCAGCAUGUUCUCCGUCUUCCCCAGGGUCUCCUACCAGUUGGGCGUGCCCGGAAAACCUCCAGUGGGAGGCGCCCAGGAGGCAUCCUGAUUAGAUGCCCGAACCACCUCAGCUGA
Molecule: long non-coding RNA, 1287 nt
Organism: Anarrhichthys ocellatus (wolf-eel)
Lineage: Eukaryota; Metazoa; Chordata; Actinopteri; Perciformes; Anarhichadidae
Exons: 3
Source: RefSeq, a predicted model, not a curated record